This 1377-nucleotide ribosomal RNA is filed under the name Triticum aestivum (bread wheat). RNAcentral describes it as "partial small subunit ribosomal RNA". The record is from RNAcentral. Lineage: Eukaryota; Viridiplantae; Streptophyta; Magnoliopsida; Poales; Poaceae.
AUGACGGGGCUUCUCACGGUAGUUGACGCGACAAUAGGAUGGCUGGUGCAAACCAUCCUUGGGAGCUUCUUCACUGAACAGAUUGAAGCCUGGGCUCGUGAAGUUGGGCUUGCUGAAGAUGUGGAGAAGCUCAAAUUUGAGAUGAGAAACGUGGAGAUGGUUCUUGCUGCUGCCGAGGGAAGGAUGAUUGAAAACAAGCCUCUGGCACGUUCACUGGAUGAUCUCAAAGAGUUGCUUUAUGACUCGGAGGACGUGAUGGACGAGCUCGAUUACUACCAACUCCAACAGCAGAUCGAAGAAGGGAAAGGUUGUAGUGCUCCUAAUGGUGUUAAUCCCGAGGGAAGCUACGUGUCCUCAUCAGCUCCAUCUUCUGCUUAUGAAUUAGUAUGCAGUGCCACAAGCCAAAUGACUAGUUGGGCCUCAUGCAGCAGAAAAAGGAAGCGUGAAGAGGAGGGGCCAGGUCAAAGUACCAUGCUGACUUCUGAGAUUAAACAUGACAUUUCUCAGAGGAUCAAUGGAAUAGUGAAAGGUUUAUGCACUAUUGGCAGUUCCGUGCAGAGAGUUCUUCAGCUUGAGGUCUCGCGCCCCACUGCAACAUCACUUGAGAGUCAGAAUAUUUCCAAUAAUGCUCGGCUGACAACUUCUGUUCCAGUUGAAGUUAAGAUGUAUGGGAGGGAGUCAGAGAGAGACAAGAUAAUAGAGCUGUUGAUAGAGGGGGGGUCUAGUAAUCUGAAUGUUUUGCCAGUGGUUGGCAUUGGUGGUGUUGGGAAGACAAGUCUUGCUAGAUUUGUAUGCAAGGACCAAAGAAUUAGAGAUCAUUUUGAUAUGCAAAUGUGGGUUUGUGUAUCCACUGACUUCAAUGAAGUGAGGAUAACACAUGAGAUCCUAGAGCAUGUAUGUGAAAAUAGACAAGAAUAUGCAAAUAUAAGCAAUUUCAAUGUAUUGCAGAAGAACCUUUUGGAGAAUAUCAGAAACAAAAGAUUUCUGCUCGUAUUGGAUGACAUGUGGGAGGACAAGGACAGGAGUGGAUGGAUUAAACUCUUGGCUCCAUUGAAAGGUAAUCAAGUAAGUGGCUGCAUGAUACUAGCAACAACUAGAAUGAAUUCGGUUGCAAAAAUGGUACGAACGAUGGAUGAAGUCAUAUUGAGUGGCCUGAAUGAAAAGGAAUUUUGGCUGUUAUUCAAGGUAUGUGCAUUUGGAAACGAGAACUACGAGGGUGAUCCUUAUUUGCAGUCUAUUGGCAAACAGAUUGCUAAAGCACUGAAGGGCUGCCCACUAGCCACACAAAGUGUUGGUGCACUUUUGAAGACAAGUGUCAGUGAUAAAGCAUUGGAGGACAGUUCGGGACAAAUGGAGAUCUUUUCAAGAAGGCGCUAA